RNAcentral lists this long non-coding RNA (1515 nucleotides) under Homo sapiens (human). RNAcentral's name for it is "HSALNT0307084". Lineage: Eukaryota; Metazoa; Chordata; Mammalia; Primates; Hominidae. The record is from RNAcentral.
AUUCUGGAUUUACAGAGAGGCCUGCUCUGCUUUCCCCAGAGACUUCAAGUAUAUGGAGUUGAGCUCUGUCGCCCAGGCUGGAGUGCAGUGGCACCAUCUCAGCUGACUGUGACCUCCGCCUCCUGGGUUCAAGUGAUUCUCCUGCAUCAGCCUCCCGAGUAGCUGGGACUACAGGUGCACACCACCAUGCCCGGCUAAUUUUUGUAUUUUUAGUAGAGACGGGGUUUUGCCAUGAUGGCCAGGUUUGGUCUCAAACUCCUAACCUCAAGUGAUCCACCCUCCUCAGCCUCCCAAAGUGCUGGGAUUACAGGCGUGAGCCACUGCGCCCCGCCUACUUGAAUUUUUUUUUUUUUUUUUUUUUUUGAGACAGAGUUUUGCUCCUGUUGCCCAGGCUGGAGUGCAACGGCAUGAUCUCGACUCACUGCAACCUCUGCCUCCUGGGUUCAAGUGAUUCUCCUGCCUCAGCCUCCCAAAUAGCUGGGAUUACAGGUGCCCACCACUGUGCCUGGCUGAUUGUAUUUUUAGUAGAGAUGGGGUUUCAUCAUGUUGGUCAGGCUGGUCUUGAACUCCAGACCUCAGGUGAUCGGACUGCCUCGGCCUCCCAAAGUGCUGGGAUUACAGGCAUGACCCACUGUGCCCGGACCUGCUUGAAUUUUUAUGAUGAGCAUGUUGGCAGAUCACGACUGCCAGCUCCGUGACAGCAAGAACCUUGUAUGACUUUUUCAUGAUGGAUGUUCAUCUGUGCCAUCUGUAAAUAUUGAAUAAAUAUUUGUGGAAUACAUGAAUCUAAAAGUGAAUGGAAUGAUAAAGAGGGAAAGGGUCAUGACAUCUACUACAGCAUUUGGCACAGACCCAGGUUUCCCUGGUACUGGUAAUUCCCAGCAGCUUUCUACAAUUCCAAAGCUGUCUGCAGUACUAUCAAGAGAUGACAUGGACUUCAAGGAUCAAACAGGGGAGAAAAAGGCUUAAAAGAAAAACAAGUCUCCAUCAAAGGUAAUAACCACAAUGAGAACUAUACAUAGCUAUGUGCUUAUAGGUCUUAGUUCACAUUCCCCUCAUUAAAAUUAUAGCUCAAGAAAUAAAGGGCUGUUUAAUGACUUGGGUAUAUAAAUAUACUUCAUUUGUAUAUUUUUUACUUGCUAAAAUCUAUCCAAAUUGGUAUUACCUCAAACCAUAAUCUUCUACUGUAUUUUAUAAUUUUACUUUAUUGCCAUGUAUUUUUCCCACUGAUGUUCACAAAUUCACAGGAAACAUCAGCCAUGUACUAAAUAAAAUAUGAAUUGAAUCGACAAAUAGAACUAUAAAUUUAAUUCAAGCACAUGUAAAAUUUAGACCAAAGAAUAAAAAUGUCUAUUAAAAAUACAGCCAAGCAUGGUGGCUCACACCUGUAAUCCCAGCACUUUGGGAGGCCGAGGUGGGUGAAUCAUCUGAGGUCAAGAGUUUGAGACCAGCUGGCCAUUGUGGUGAAACCCCAUCUCUACUAAAAUACAAAAAUUAGCUGGGUGUGAUGGUGGG